This 275-nucleotide ribosomal RNA is filed under the name uncultured bacterium. RNAcentral describes it as "partial 16S ribosomal RNA". It matches the Rfam family "Bacterial small subunit ribosomal RNA", at positions 355 to 622 of the family's 1533-position model. The record is from RNAcentral.
UGGGGAAUAUUGCACAAUGGGCGCAAGCCUGAUGCAGCCAUGCCGCGUGUGUGAAGAAGGCCUUCGGGUUGUAAAGCACUUUCAGCGAGGAGGAAGGGUAGUGUGUUAAUAGCACAUUGCAUUGACGUUACUCGCAGAAGAAGCACCGGCUAACUCCGUGCCAGCAGCCGCGGUAAUACGGAGGGUGCAAGCGUUAAUCGGAAUUACUGGGCGUAAAGCGCACGCAGGCGGUUUGUUAAGUCAGAUGUGAAAUCCCCGCGCUUAACGUGGGAACU